UGGGGGAUAUUGCACAAUGGGCGAAAGCCUGAUGCAGCGACGCCGCGUGGGGGAUGAAGGCUUUCGGGUUGUAAACCUCUUUCGCUAUCGAACAAGGCCCGCUUAGGGUGGGUUGAGGGUAGGUGGAGAAGAAGCGCCGGCUAACUACGUGCCAGCAGCCGCGGUAAUACGUAGGGCGCGAGCGUUGUCCGGAAUUAUUGGGCGUAAAGGGCUUGUAGGCGGCUUGUUGCGCCUGCUGUGAAAACGCGGGGCUUAACUUCGCGCGUGCAGUGGGUACGGGCAGGCUUGAGUGUGGUAGGCGUGACUAGAAUUCCAGGUGUAGCGGUGGAAUGCGCAGAUAUCUGGAGGAACACCGAUGGCGAAGGCAGGUCACUGGGCCAUUACUGACGCUGAGGAGCGAAAGCAUGGGUAGCGAACAGG
Molecule: ribosomal RNA, 420 nt
Filed under: bacterium
Lineage: Bacteria
Description: partial 16S ribosomal RNA
Rfam family: Bacterial small subunit ribosomal RNA
Source: RNAcentral